AACGGCGGCGAGCGGACGACUACGUUUACGGGGUGUCCCGGAGGGCCACAGUAGUGGCUUACAGAAGAGACGAAAUGUGGUCUGAGGGACGAUAUGAAUAUGAUAGAAUUCCGAGAGAACGAGCACCUCCUCGAAGUCAUCCCAGUGAUGGCUACAAUAGACUAGUUAAUAUUGUGCCAAAGAAACCACCACUGCUAGACAGACCUGGUGAAGGAAGCUACAAUAGAUAUUAUAGUCAUGUUGAUUACCGAGACUAUGACGAGGGCCGCAGUUUUUCUCAUGAUGGAAGAAGUGGUCCACCUCACAGAGGAGAUGAAUCUGGCUAUAGAUGGACAAGAGAUGAUCAUUCUGCAAGCAGGCAACCUGAAUACAGGGAAAUGAGAGAUGGCUUUAGAAGAAAAAGUUUCUACUCUUCCCAUUAUGCGAGAGAGUGGUCUCCUCAUAAAAGGGACAAUACUUUUUUCAGAGAAUCACCUGUUGGCCAAAAGGAUUCUCCACACAGCAGAUCUGGUUCCAGUGUCAGUAGCAGAAGCUACUCUCCAGAAAGGAGCAAAUCAUACUCUUUCCAUCAGUCUCAACAUAGAAAGUCCGUGCGUCCUAGUGCCUCCUACAAACGGCAGAAUGAAGGAAAUCCUGAAAGAGAUAAAGAGAGGCCUGUCCAGUCUUUGAAAACAUCAAGAGAUACUUCACCCUCAAGUGGUUCAGCAGUUUCUUCAUCAAAGGUGUUAGACAAACCCAGUAGGCUAACUGAAAAGGAGCUUGCUGAGGCUGCAAGCAAGUGGGCUGCUGAAAAGCUAGAGAAAUCAGAUGAAAGUAACUUGCCUGAAAUUUCUAAGUAUGAGGCGGGAUCCACAGCACCAUUGUUUACUGAGCAGCCAGAGGAACCUGAGUCAAACACAACACAUGGGAUAGAAUUAUUUGAAGAUAGUCAGCUAACUACUCGCUCUAAAGCAAUAGCAUCAAAAACCAAAGAGAUUGAACAGGUUUACCGACAAGACUGUGAAACUUUUGGGAUGGUGGUGAAAAUGCUGAUUGAAAAAGAUCCUUCAUUAGAAAAGUCAUACAGUUUGCAUUGAGGCAGAAUUUACAUGAAAUAGGUGAGCGGUGUGUUGAAGAACUCAAGCAUUUCAUUGCAGAGUAUGAUACUUCCACUCAAGAUUUUGGAGAGCCUUUUUAGAUUUUUUUGCUCAGACCAGAAUAAAAAAACAGUUUCUAAAAAUUUUUUUUCCUGGAUUGUGUAAAUCCUUAAUAUAUGGAAUUUUUGUGAUGCAGCGAAAUACUUUAUGAUAGUUGACCACAUUUCAAUAUUAAAUAAACAUCUAAAAUAGUCUGUUUAAAAUGUUUAAUUAGAAUUUUUGUAUUUUUUUUUUUUAGAGAUGGGAUUUCACCAUGUUGGCCAGGCUAGUCUCUAACUCCUGGCCUCAAGUGAUCUGCCUGCCUCAGCCUCCCAAAGUGUUGAGAUUACAGGCGUGAGCCACCGCUCCCAGCCAACACAUGAUACCAUCUGAAAAUGUUAGAAUUCUAAGUUGUGAUUUUAUUGACUUGUUGCUUGCUUUUUCUUAGGCUUUGUAACUUGUAAUAUGUUAAAGUGUACUAUCCUAAUAAACUGAAUACUUUGGUAUCUUAAAAAAAAAAAAAAGAAAGAAUAUUUU
Rhinopithecus roxellana (golden snub-nosed monkey) is the source of this 1652-nucleotide RNA transcript. It is a transcript of the gene named periphilin-1 pseudogene, with no coding region annotated. Lineage: Eukaryota; Metazoa; Chordata; Mammalia; Primates; Cercopithecidae. The transcript has a single exon. The record is from RefSeq and is a predicted model, not a curated record.